RNAcentral lists this ribosomal RNA (490 nucleotides) under Blastocystis hominis. Its description in RNAcentral is "bacterial SSU rRNA". It matches the Rfam family "Eukaryotic small subunit ribosomal RNA", at positions 533 to 1028 of the family's 1831-position model. Lineage: Eukaryota; Bigyra; Opalinata; Blastocystidae. The record is from RNAcentral.
CUUAUCGAUAAACAAUUGGAGGGCAAGUCUGGUGCCAGCAGCCGCGGUAAUUCCAGCUCCAAUAGCGUAUAUUAACGUUGUUGCAGUUAAAAAGCUCGUAGUUGAAAUGAAGGGUAGUUGUGUAAUGAAUACAUUCGUGUAUUUUGUUAUUCUACUACCCUCCUUCUAAAUUCGAUAUAUGAGUAUUAAUUUACUUGUAUAUGGUUUUAGACUUUUACUGUGAGAAAAUUAGAGUGUUCAAAGCAGGCAUUUGCUUGAAUAUAUUAGCAUGGAAUAAUCAUGUAUGAUUUUCAUGAUGUAUUUGAUUGGUUUGGUUCAUGAGAAUAAGAUUAAAAGGGACAGUUGGGGGUAUUCAUAUUCAAUAGUCAGAGGUGAAAUUCUCGGAUUUAUGGAAGAUGAACAAGUGCGAAAGAUUUCUACCAAGGAUGUUUUCAUUAAUCAAGAACGAAAGUUAGGGGAUCGAAGAGGAUUAGAUACCCUCGUAGUCUUA